RNAcentral lists this ribosomal RNA (111 nucleotides) under Brachyscome chrysoglossa. Its description in RNAcentral is "5.8S ribosomal RNA". It matches the Rfam family "5.8S ribosomal RNA", at positions 49 to 154 of the family's 154-position model. From Rfam's summary of the family: 5.8S ribosomal RNA (5.8S rRNA) is a component of the large subunit of the eukaryotic ribosome. It is transcribed by RNA polymerase I as part of the 45S precursor that also contains 18S and 28S rRNA. Lineage: Eukaryota; Viridiplantae; Streptophyta; Magnoliopsida; Asterales; Asteraceae. The record is from RNAcentral. RNAcentral also lists the same sequence under 1 other name.
CAAAAUGCGAUACUUGGUGUGAAUUGCAGAAUCCCGUGAACCAUCGAGUUUUUGAACGCAAGUUGCGCCCGAAGCCACUCGGCCGAGGGCACGUCUGCCUGGGCGUCACGC